Molecule: small nucleolar RNA, 89 nt
Organism: Cyclopterus lumpus (lumpfish)
Lineage: Eukaryota; Metazoa; Chordata; Actinopteri; Perciformes; Cyclopteridae
Source: Ensembl
AGCCUGUGAUGAUUAAAUCAAAUUACUUUUCUGACAUCUACUAUGAGAGCUGGUCUCCAGCUCCUGAUUCUAUCUUUAUUCUGAGGCUG